RNAcentral lists this non-coding RNA (178 nucleotides) under Equus caballus (horse). RNAcentral's name for it is "Eukaryotic large subunit ribosomal RNA". It matches the Rfam family "Eukaryotic large subunit ribosomal RNA", at positions 2134 to 2331 of the family's 3401-position model. The record is from Rfam by way of RNAcentral. Lineage: Eukaryota; Metazoa; Chordata; Mammalia; Perissodactyla; Equidae.
CUGACUGUUUAAACAAAGACCAAUAGCGGGUAUUGAUGUAAUGUGAUUUCUGUCCAGUGCUUUCUAUGUCAGAGAGAAAAACUCAAUGAAAGCAGGUAAAUGGCAGAGUAAUUAACUGUCUUAAGGUAGACAAAUGCCCCACCAUCUAAUUAGAGACAUGCAUGAACGAAUGAACAAG